GGUUAAGUUAGAAAGGGCGCACGGUGGAUGCCUUGGCACUAGGAGCCGAAGAAGGACGGGACUAACACCGAUAUGCUUUGGGGAGCUGUACGUAAGCGUUGAUCCAGAGAUUUCCGAAUGGGGGAACCCACUAUCUUUAGUCGGAUAGUAUCCUUACGUGAAUACAUAGCGUGAGGAAGGCAGACCCAGGGAACUGAAACAUCUAAGUACCUGGAGGAAGAGAAAGAAAAAUCGAUUUCCUGAGUAGCGGCGAGCGAAACGGAAAGAGCCCAAACCAAGAAGCUUGCUUCUUGGGGUUGUAGGACACUCUAUACGGAGUUACAAAAGAAAGUUAUAAAUGAAGCGGUCUGGAAAGGCCCGCCAAAGACGGUAACAGCCCGGUAGUUGAAAUGGCUUUCCCUCCAGAGUGGAUCCUGAGUACGGCGGAACACGUGAAAUUCCGUCGGAAUCCGGGAGGACCAUCUCCCAAGGCUAAAUACUCCCUAGUGACCGAUAGUGAACCAGUACCGUGAGGGAAAGGUGAAAAGCACCCCGGAAGGGGAGUGAAACAGUUCCUGAAACCGUGUGCCUACAAGUAGUUAGAGCCCGUUAAUGGGUGAUAGCGUGCCUUUUGUAGAAUGAACCGGCGAGUUACGAUUUGUUGCAAGGUUAAGCGGAAAAAGCGGAGCCGUAGCGAAAGCGAGUCUGAAUAGGGCGCAUAAGUAACAGGUCGUAGACCCGAAACCAGGUGAUCUACCCAUGUCCAGGAUGAAGGUAAGGUAAUACUUACUGGAGGUCCGAACCCACGCACGU
RNAcentral lists this ribosomal RNA (792 nucleotides) under Listeria monocytogenes. RNAcentral's name for it is "partial 23S ribosomal RNA". It matches the Rfam family "Bacterial large subunit ribosomal RNA", at positions 1 to 789 of the family's 2925-position model. Lineage: Bacteria; Bacillati; Bacillota; Bacilli; Caryophanales; Listeriaceae. The record is from RNAcentral.